GCAGCCGCCGCGGUAAUACAGAGGGUGCGAGCGUUAAUCGGAUUUACUGGGCGUAAAGCGUGCGUAGGCGGCUUCUUAAGUCGGAUGUGAAAUCCCUGAGCUUAACUUAGGAAUUGCAUUCGAUACUGGGAAGCUAGAGUAUGGGAGAGGAUGGUAGAAUUCCAGGUGUAGCGGUGAAAUGCGUAGAGAUCUGGAGGAAUACCGAUGGCGAAGGCAGCCAUCUGGCCUAAUACUGACGCUGAGGUACGAAAGCAUGGGGAGCAAACAGGAUUAGAUACCCGGGUAGUCCCUGUCUCUUAUAC
RNAcentral lists this ribosomal RNA (302 nucleotides) under uncultured bacterium. Its description in RNAcentral is "partial 16S ribosomal RNA". It matches the Rfam family "Bacterial small subunit ribosomal RNA", at positions 508 to 807 of the family's 1533-position model. The record is from RNAcentral.